This 524-nucleotide ribosomal RNA is filed under the name Petasospora bimundalis. RNAcentral describes it as "Cyberlindnera bimundalis partial large subunit ribosomal RNA". It matches the Rfam family "Eukaryotic large subunit ribosomal RNA", at positions 115 to 655 of the family's 3401-position model. Lineage: Eukaryota; Fungi; Ascomycota; Saccharomycetes; Phaffomycetales; Wickerhamomycetaceae. The record is from RNAcentral.
UUGAAAUCUAGUACCUUCGGUGCUCGAGUUGUAAUUUGAAGGUAGUUUUCUGGUGCUGGCCCUUGUCUAUGUUCCUUGGAACAGGACGUCAUAGAGGGUGAGAAUCCCGUCUGAUGGGGUGUCCAGUGCUUUGUAGAUUUCUACCGAAGAGUCGAGUUGUUUGGGAAUGCAGCUCUAAGUGGGUGGUAAAUUCCAUCUAAAGCUAAAUACUGGCGAGAGACCGAUAGCGAACAAGUACAGUGAUGGAAAGAUGAAAAGAACUUUGAAAAGAGAGUGAAAAAGUACGUGAAAUUGUUGAAAGGGAAGGGUAUUGGAUCAGACUUGGUGUUUUGUGAUUAUCUUCCCUUCUUGGGUUGUGCACUCGCAUUUCACUGGGCCAGCAUCGGUUCGGAUGGCAAGAUAAUGGCUUGGGAACGUGGCACUCCUCGGAGUGUGUUAUAGCCCUUGUUGAUGUUGCCUAUCUGGACCGAGGACUGCGGCUUUUGCCUAGGAUGCUGGCGUAAUGAUUCAAUACCGCCCGUCUU